Molecule: transfer RNA, 72 nt
Organism: Camelus ferus (Wild Bactrian camel)
Lineage: Eukaryota; Metazoa; Chordata; Mammalia; Artiodactyla; Camelidae
Rfam family: tRNA
About the family: Transfer RNA (tRNA) molecules are approximately 80 nucleotides in length. Their secondary structure includes four short double-helical elements and three loops (D, anti-codon, and T loops).
Source: Rfam
GAGGGUAUAGCUCAGUGGUAGAGUGCAUGCUUAGCAUGCACGCGGUCUUGGGUUCAGUCCCCAGUCCCUCCA